GACGGAGGGGGCUAGCGUUGUUCGGAAUUACUGGGCGUAAAGCGUGCGUAGGCGGCCUUUCAAGUUGGGUGUGAAAGCCCGGGGCUCAACCCCGGAAAUGCGCCCAAGACUGUUUGGCUCGAGACCCGGAGAGGUGAGUGGAACUCCCAGUGUAGAGGUGAAAUUCGUAGAUAUUGGGAAGAACACCAGUGGCGAAGGCGGCUCACUGGACGGGUACUGACGCUGAGGCACGAAGGUCAGGGGAGCAAACGGG
RNAcentral lists this ribosomal RNA (253 nucleotides) under uncultured bacterium. Its description in RNAcentral is "partial 16S ribosomal RNA". It matches the Rfam family "Bacterial small subunit ribosomal RNA", at positions 524 to 776 of the family's 1533-position model. The record is from RNAcentral.